CUGACGGGUGGUUCAUCCCAGCCAAGGUCUGGGAGCACAGGGGCCGUUAUAGAAAUAAAUGGAUUUAGAACCAGAAAAAAGCAAAAGCCUUAAUUGGGAAACACUGGUUUCUUUAUUGACUCGGUGAAAUAAUGGAAAGGUCCUGCAAGUAAUACAGACACAGACAGACAUUUCUUUGCUAAUUAGGUAACAGGGAAUCACAAGCCUAUCUGCACCAUGCCAACCAUGCCGACCACAGCGGGCGACCCAUCAGAAUGAUUCAUGGAGAGCAGCUUGCCGUUGGCUCUUUGGACAUGUACAGCUUCAGUACGUAGUGCUGGUAACAGAACCUUCUUGACAGCAGGCGUACGAAGAAUAAACGGAAAACAGCUUGUAGAGCUCUUGGCCCAGUCCCACACGUAGUAACUGCUCAGAAAAUACUGCCAGUCAGGAUGGAUCAUUGGCUUAAAAAGGGAGACCGGAGGCCCCACUUUCUCAACCCACAGCUGCACCAUUUAUAUUAAAAGAUGCCGAGAAAAAUACUUAUCAGGAAGUUCUCUGACUCAUGGAAGGGAAGGAUGUACUCCAAAGAAGCUGGACAGACUUCAAAUAAAAAACGGAAUUACACGGAAGCUAUCUUUCCCUCAAUUUUGUAGAUGUCAACAGAUGCCUUAUUGUGUCUUAUGUAACAAAACAUAUUUGGAUAAUAUUAUAAUGACAGAUAAGUAUAAUUGAGGUAUCAUUUUGAGACAAAUCAUUGAGAGUUUAAAGAAAAUGGAUUUGAAUAUUUUAAACAUAGAUGUGAUGACUUCUUUAAAAGUCAAUAAUUGAAAAUUUGUUUUCAUUUUUUUUCAAACUAGAAAUUAAAAAGCCACCGAAGCUGUGUGAUGGGUAUACGGGCACUCUGUAUUGUUUUCUUCUGUGCAUCUAA
Neofelis nebulosa (Clouded leopard) is the source of this 910-nucleotide long non-coding RNA. RefSeq lists it as uncharacterized. The transcript has 3 exons. The record is from RefSeq and is a predicted model, not a curated record. NCBI's taxonomy places the organism in Eukaryota, Metazoa, Chordata, Mammalia, Carnivora, Felidae.